GCGGGAAGCCUCUCCCAAGAUAAGUUCUCCCUGACCCCUUGAGGGUCCUGAAGGGCCGUCCGAGACGAGGACGUUGAUAGGCUGGGUGUGGAAGCGUUGUAAGGCGUUGAGCUAACCAGUACUAAUUGCCCGUGAGGCUUGACCAUAUAAUCCAG
RNAcentral lists this ribosomal RNA (155 nucleotides) under Halieaceae bacterium. RNAcentral describes it as "partial 23S ribosomal RNA". It matches the Rfam family "Bacterial large subunit ribosomal RNA", at positions 2785 to 2925 of the family's 2925-position model. The record is from RNAcentral. Lineage: Bacteria; Pseudomonadati; Pseudomonadota; Gammaproteobacteria; Cellvibrionales; Halieaceae.